AAGGCAGCGGCGGAGCCUCAGCGAGCACAGAAAAACCGUGGGGAGACAUGAGAGGGAAAAGUUGCAGCCGGGGAUGGGGUUGGAAAGGCAAGAAGAGAGUCUCAGGUGGGGAAGGGUAGGGGGAGGCUGGAGCAGGGAUCUGGGCUGGAGGAAGCAGAGCGGGCCUGGACUGGGGACGAGGGAGGAUGGAUAAACAUGACAGUGGGAAGAACGUGGCCCCUGGGGCAGGAGGAGGCCAUCCAUUCACCCUGGUGACCUCGUUAAACUCCCUGCCUUAGACUCAGGACAAGCAGAUGGGCAGGAUUCAUUUGUGUCCUGGGGCCGCUGUGGGACAGAGCUUGUCACAAGGCCUUUAGACUUCAUGAAGCUUCCACUGGAGGCUCAGCACCAUUGGGAUCUGUAGGGAGCAUCUGAAAGGACCCAUGUGAAGGGGUGCUGAGAGUUACUGUCUGUGGGGAGCGGGCACAUCUUCGGGCCCUGAGCUGCCUGAGGACAGAGCAGAGGAAGUGGGCUCAGUCGGCACCACACACCGCAGGAGGGGUGGGACUCGUGUGCCAACUGGCCUGUGGCUGCCAGCAUCUGAAAGGUGGUUGGAACUCUUCUAGAGAUGAUGUCCAGAGAUCUGAGAUUCCAAACCUUUCAAGGAUGUGGAUUCCUACAAAGAGGAGAUGAGGAGAUCAAGGGCUUUGGUGAAGGUGGUAGUGGGGGGAGAGCGUGGGAGGGGGGAGCCCAGGGAGAGGGUGGCAGACAGGAAGAAGCUAGACAGACAGGAGGCGUCUCUCCCCUCCCUGCCCCCAUCACUGUCCCAAAUUGCCCAUCCCUUUCUGUUCAGCUCCCCUCUGCAUCGCUGGUCAGGCACCAGAAGGGUGGACACCACGGGCCAGUGGUGUGGAUGAGAGGGAGGGAAGGGUCAUGAGUUAGCCUCCUGUGCACUUUUAAACCCCCUGUUCUCACUUCCUGCCGGUGCAAAAAUAACCCUGCCCCUCUGACUUAUCUCAGCAAAGACUGGUGCCCAGCCCGGCUCAGAGGGCAAUGGGACAGGUCCCAGAGGGUCACUGAGGACAAAAAGAGCCUGGACCCCCCAUACACACAUGGGGAGCUGCAGAACAGGGACUCGGGGGUGGGAGGAAAGUGUGUGUGUGUGUGAGUGUGUGUGUGUGUGGCGUGAAGGCUGGGGUUGGAGGGGGCAGUUCCCAGGGUCUCUCUUUGCCCCUCAGUGCCUUGUGGCUGGGAUCUGCAUGUGCACACCUGCAGCCAUCUGUGCUCCUGAAGCUGCCUGCUCGCUCUUAUGUCUGGGGUCAGGUGUGUGUGUGUGUGUGUGAUGUGUGUGUGUGAAGGUGGGGGCUGUGCCUGCUGUGUGUGCUUCCUCCCCACCAGCUGCCCGUGCCUCUGUGAACACGCAUGUGUGUUACAGGCUGCAUUACACAUGGAUUUAUAUGUUCUAGGGAAUCUUGGUGCACACCCCUCAGUUUACUGGCACCUCCACGCGGCCUUGCAUGCGCACGUGUGUGUAGUGAUGUGCUCAUGUGACUGCAGCCGCAGGCAGGCUGAGGUUACUGAGCCUGUGUGGGCCCCCACGUCCCCCCUUCUCCCUGGUGAAAUGAAAUCCCAGUGUCCCCGCUUUUCUGGGGCAGCCACUAUAUCUUUGCUUUACAUUCCCCCCAACCCCUGCCCCCCAAACCUGACCUCUCGCUGGAGGCGGGAGAAAGGAGAGGGCCCUUCCGCCCCUCCCCCACGUCUAGAGCCCUCCUUCCAUUUCCUGUUUGCCUCCUUUUUGGCAGUUUUUCCCAUCUUUGCCAUCUGGCCUGGCACUGUGCCCAUUCAGCUCCACUGAUGGGGAGCCCCAGGGAAGCAAGCAGAUGGGGUGGGGACCAAGGCAGCGGCCCGGCAGCUCUCAAGGCUCAGCUUGGGCCAUUUUGCGUGGUCUGUGGGAAAGGGGUGGACACACAAACCCACAGGCUUCUCAGAAAUAGAGCGAUGGCCAUCUGCUCGCCUGAAGGUGCCUAAUUCUACCUCUUAAGUAGCAACUCACCUAAUACAUGUUGAUCUCUUUAACACUGUAAUUUUGUGAACCAAAGACCUGGGAUCUUGGGAAAUAAUCAUUUGUUCACUUGUUCAGGGGCUAGUAGGUGCCUCCUGGCUAUAAGGGGCUAUUGAUUCUCCAGAGAAUGGUUAAGAAUGAUAAAAAUGUUACUGUAACUCUAGCCUAAACUGUUAUUGAAGUUUUACUGCCAGCUGUUUGCAAACAAGCCUUUUCAAAGGGACGUGGCCUUUCCCUGAGUUAUACAUGGGGACAGGAGUGUGAUAAGAAGUGGUUGGCUGACUGGGGUGAUCCAAGAAAUAUCACAACAGGGUUAUAGGCUGGGCAGACCUGGGCAGGAAGGGACAGAUUUCCUGCCAGGCAGCCAAUGGCUGUCCCCAGGCACUGCUAAAUAGAGACUGCAGUGUGAGUGCAAUUGGGAAGAAAGCAGUAGAAGGUGUGGUCUCCACCCCCAACCCUAGGACCCUACCAUCUAGAUGGGGAAAUGCGGUAAAUACACAUGACACAGACUGAGACGUUCAAACCAGCCAACUAAGUGCUUCGAUAGGUCAGGGAAAAAUCAUCAGGAAGGGCGCAUUUCCAUGUGUGUGAAGGGAGAUGGGUGAGUGUUACUAGUGUUUGACGUGGGAGAAAGAAGGAAAUGGGGUCUAAAACGUAUACGUCCAAUUGGACAAAUGAGGAAGUAAAAACAGUUCACCUGUGGGCACAGAUUUCAGACAGGCAGCUAUAAAAGACAGGUGCUCCGUGCGGCAGGCAGCCUCACACCCCCACGCCCACUCUUGUUGGAAGCAACUUGGACUCUGGAACCAGGAUGUCCUGAGUCCUGACUUUACUCCUCACUGUCUGAGCUCUUGAGUAAAAAUCAGGAGCAGCAGCUACCUCGAAGGGCUGCUGGAAGGAUUAGAGCUUGUGCGGUACACAACACCCUGGGGAGUCCCUUGCUGCCCCAGCAGGUUAGGGAUGGGGCGUCAUCACUUCUGUGGCUCUGGUUACUGCUGUGGCCUGGGUUCAAGCCCUGGCCCAGGAACUUCUGCAUGCCACAGGUGGCCAAAAAAAUCCUGGGAAUUAGCAGAUGCAAACUAUUAUAUACAGCAUGGGUAAACAAAAAGUUCUAUUGUACAGCACAGGGAACUCUAAUCAAUAUCCUGUGAUAAACCACAAUGGAAAAGAAUAUAUAUGUGUGUAAUAUGUAUAUUUAUAAAUAUAUAUAUAUAUAUCUGAAUCCCUUUGCUGUACAGCAGAAAUUAACACAACAUUGUAAAUCAACUAUACUUCAAUAAAAUAAAUGAAAACCAAAAACACCCUGGAGUUCUCUUGUGGCAUGGCAGGUUAAGUUUCUCACCUUGUCACUGGCGUGGCUCAGGUCACUGCUGUGGGGCGAGGAUUCAAUCCCUGCCCAGGGAAUGUCCACAUGCCACAGGUGUGGCAAAAAAAAAAAAAAAAAAAAAA
This 3490-nucleotide long non-coding RNA is filed under the name Sus scrofa (pig). RNAcentral describes it as "lncRNA (ENSSSCG00060038825.1)". The record is from RNAcentral. Lineage: Eukaryota; Metazoa; Chordata; Mammalia; Artiodactyla; Suidae.